GGUUCUAUGGUGUAAUGGUUAGCACUCUGGACUCUGAAUCCAGCAAUCUGAGUUCAAAUCUUGGUAGGACCU
Molecule: transfer RNA, 72 nt
Filed under: Danionella translucida
Lineage: Eukaryota; Metazoa; Chordata; Actinopteri; Cypriniformes; Danionidae
Also listed under: 1 other name
Rfam family: tRNA
About the family: Transfer RNA (tRNA) molecules are approximately 80 nucleotides in length.
Source: Rfam by way of RNAcentral